UGCAUCUUCUACCAAAACCGUCGGUGCCUUCCUCCGAUCUUCUGUCGACAGUCCCGCAUUAGAGAAUGCAAAAAAAUUGGAGCUUGACUGCACCUGAGAAGGCCCCACUCGAGGAGUAACUGGCACAGUCGUUGACUGUUCGGGUUCGACCGCGGCCUCCACCUCGGCCCAAACCUCAGUCGAUGGAGCUGUCGAUGGUACUGUGGCAGCUCCG
Molecule: long non-coding RNA, 214 nt
Filed under: Elaeis guineensis (African oil palm)
Lineage: Eukaryota; Viridiplantae; Streptophyta; Magnoliopsida; Arecales; Arecaceae
Description: long non-coding RNA (EGUI_LNC005589)
Source: RNAcentral